UCCACGCCACACGCAGGCUCUGCGCAGAGCUCUGUGCUGGAGGGAAGCUGGCCCCAAGCAGCCUUUCAUGGCAGCUUCUCCAACUGGUUUCUGUGACAGGAUUUUCCUGCUUUCACCAUGGAAGGAAGUGAGGCAGAGGGAACGUGUUCUGUUUCCUCGAAAAGCAUUUAGGGAGACAUGUGGACACCCUGUUCUCUCCCCAGCUCAUAGAAGAGCUUAUUAGCUGACUUGGGGUGCCGUGAUAAUAAAGCCACUCAAUGGACGUAACAAUGUCCUGGAAAGCAUCUCAGAUUUGUAGAAUUAUCACAGCCUCCUCCUGGAUUUCCUGUCUCCAGCCUAUGUCGAAAAUCUUCAUUUCAUACAGGAGCCAACUGUGUUAUUCUAAGGAGGGUUAAAAAAUGAAACAACAAAUCUAGAGUAUUGACGAUAUGGGUAUCAGGAAAAUGUAUUUUCUACAACUGCUCACAGAUUAGCUCCACACUGACCUCCUUUUUGGAAGGCGAGGAUCCCAACAUAUGAAAAAAAGAGCAGAGCCUCCCAAGCUAAUAAUUAGUCUGUGCUUGGAACAAGAGUGUUCAGAAGAACCAGACAUUUAUGUCGUAACAUUUUCCAAAGCAGGAGGAGCAGGGGUUUGCUCCUGUGCAUUCUGGCAAAUGGAAACAACAAAGAAUAUGGAUCAUUCCAGAGACUUUAGAAGCAAGAUGGGAUUCUUUUCAAAGAUUCUGAUUCUGAGGUUUUGAGGAAAGAAAGAUGGGCAAGGAAGCAAAGGAAAUAUUGCUAAUUUGUCAAUCAUUGAUAGAGUAGGAUCUACUUCCAGUUCUAUUUAAAAACCAACUACAAGCAAAACUGCCAGCACCUGGCUGAGCAAGCAGUAUCUGAGGCAGAUGAAACUGAGAAAUGUUCACUGAAACCUUACAAUCUUUUAUGAAGACAAAGAGACCAAGUGUCGGAGAGGUGUCGGAGAAGGAGCCUGAAGUUCAAGGUCACAUGGAAAUGCUGAAGUCAGUCACUUUUUGGACUCAUUCUGAGAAGUAAAAACUUCUUCCAAACACACAUCAGUGAUUUUAUCAAAAUCUGUGAGACAGAAAAUACCCUAGAAAAUGUGCCUGUCUUCUAUAAGCAUCCAAUUCUGUAAAGAGCAGCAUAUUAUUAAUAAUUCUUGAGUGUUUUUCACAGAAAGAGUCUCCAUUCUCCACCCAACCUGAGUAAUAACUGAUAUCUCCACAGUGUUGCAGCCACACAUACCCCAUCUCUUGUUUGAGUUUUGGGAUCUCCUCUUUUCCCAAAGCCCUAGUCUUCCUUAACAUUAAGUUGCUGGUUUUUUUAGUCUGUAUUCCCAGGUUCACCUCUCUUUAAUAUCACGUGCUUUGCGUGGCCAGGUAUUCACCCGCAGGUCACAGAUGAGGUACAGACAAACCAAAAGUCCUGCCAACCAAACAACAAAGGCCAGUCCAGAAACUGUCAGCUCUUCCUAGAGAAGCUGCAGUGCUCUGAGCCCUGAGGUAGCCCAACAAGAACGGAGAACGCAGCCCACCCAUCCCAGCUGCAAAAUGAAUGUCAACUUCUUAAACACCAACACCAAAUCUUCCUUCUGUUUCCCUCUAAAGAGCCACCAGCGAAACACUUGACCAGAAGAUGUACCCUGAAAGCCUGGAGCUCUUGCAGCUUCCCUGAAACACGACACUUCUCCAGGAUUCCAAGGAUCUCAAACAAGGAAAACUAGAAGUGGCUCAUGGUGAAGCUUUUGAAGACUAUUCUGAAUGGCUCGGGUGGCGAGCCAGCACGCCCACCCUCCUUGAGGUGUUAGAAUUCUUUCCCUUCAUUCCCAAGUGAGAACGUAUCAGCCCACAGACUCCAGCCCCCAAAACCAAACUUGGCAGCACAGCAGUUGCAUACCAAGAGAGGCCCAUUCUAGAUCCUUCCAUCCCAAUCACCCCCUUUCCACCCCUGCCCUGUGCCUUCCCCAUCCCUGAGCGAGGGUGACAGAGUUAGGAUAGAGAAGACGGGACCCAAAACUCAGCUCCCAUUAUCUUACAAACAGUAACCUGGUGAGUGACCAUCUCACCACUCCAUACCUGGAUAAAAAUAAAACCAUGUCAACAGUGUGUAGCUCCUACCACCUCA
Non-coding RNA from Microcebus murinus (gray mouse lemur), 2124 nucleotides. Lineage: Eukaryota; Metazoa; Chordata; Mammalia; Primates; Cheirogaleidae. The record is from RefSeq and is a predicted model, not a curated record.